This is a long non-coding RNA of Homo sapiens (human), 471 nucleotides long. RefSeq lists it as uncharacterized. Lineage: Eukaryota; Metazoa; Chordata; Mammalia; Primates; Hominidae. The transcript is spliced from 2 exons. The record is from RefSeq and is a predicted model, not a curated record.
CUGGCUUCUGCUACCGUCACUCAUCCUUUCUAAGUGAGGGCAGCCUUGAGGCCACAAAACAAAGGCCAAAAUGGCUUCAAGGACAGUAAGCUCAAGGUUUCAAAAGAUUGUGACUUCCGUUCUGCUGGCUGACCCUCUCUCCAGCCUUCUCAGCUUGCAUAUCUCCAUGAAGCAAGCUGCCAUGUUGGCAAGACCUACGUGGCAAGGAUUUGAGAGCAUCCUCUGGCCAGCAGCAAGCUAGGAACCGAGGCCCUCAGUCCAACAACCAUCAAGGGACUGAAUUCUGCCAACAAACAUGUGAACUUGGAUGUGGAUCCUUCCCCAGGUGAGCCUUCAGACGAAAUGCCAACCCUGGCCAAAAUUUUGGUUACAGCCUUGUGAGAGAUUCUAAAGAAAGGACCUGGCUAAGUUGUGCCCUGGCUCUUGGCCCACAGAAACUGUGAGAUAAUAAAAGUGUGUUGUUUUAAACCA